Molecule: ribosomal RNA, 565 nt
Filed under: uncultured bacterium
Lineage: Bacteria
Description: partial 16S ribosomal RNA
Rfam family: Bacterial small subunit ribosomal RNA
Source: RNAcentral
UGGGGAAUUUUGGACAAUUGGGCGAAAGCCUGAUCCAGCAAUGCCGCGUGUGUGAAGAAGGCCUUCGGGUUGUAAAGCACUUUUGUCCGGAAAGAAAUCCUUGGCUCUAAUACAGUCGGGGGAUGACGGUACCGGAAGAAUAAGCACCGGCUAACUACGUGCCAGCAGCCGCGGUAAUACGUAGGGUGCAAGCGUUAAUCGGAAUUACUGGGCGUAAAGCGUGCGCAGGCGGUUUGCUAAGACCGAUGUGAAAUCCCCGGGCUCAACCUGGGAACUGCAUUGGUGACUGGCAGGCUAGAGUAUGGCAGAGGGGGGUAGAAUUCCACGUGUAGCAGUGAAAUGCGUAGAGAUGUGGAGGAAUACCGAUGGCGAAGGCAGCCCCCUGGGCCAAUACUGACGCUCAUGCACGAAAGCGUGGGGAGCAAACAGGAUUAGAUACCCUGGUAGUCCACGCCCUAAACGAUGUCAACUAGUUGUUGGGGAUUCAUUUCCUUAGUAACGUAGCUAACGCGUGAAGUUGACCGCCUGGGGAGUACGGUCGCAAGAUUAAAACUCAAAUGAAUUG